UACGGAGGGUGCAAGCGUUGUUCGGAAUUAUUGGGCGUAAAGGGCGUGUAGGUGGCUCGUCAAGUCCGUUGUGAAAUCCCACGGCUCAACCGUGGAACUGCAAUGGAAACUGGCGAGCUCGAGGGUUGGAGGGGGUCGCGGAAUUCCCGGUGUAGAGGUGAAAUUCGUAGAUAUCGGGAGGAACACCAGUGGCGAAGGCGGCGACCUGGCCAAUCACUGACACUGAGACGCGAAAGCGUGGGUAGCAAACAGGAUUAGAUACCCUGGUAGUCCACGCCGUAAACGAUGGGUGCUAGCCAUAUCGGGUGUUGACCCUUAGGUGUGGCGAAGCUAACGCGUUAAGCACCCCGCCUGGGGAGUACGGCCGCAAGGUUA
RNAcentral lists this ribosomal RNA (375 nucleotides) under uncultured prokaryote. Its description in RNAcentral is "bacterial SSU rRNA". It matches the Rfam family "Bacterial small subunit ribosomal RNA", at positions 524 to 896 of the family's 1533-position model. The record is from RNAcentral.